RNAcentral lists this ribosomal RNA (721 nucleotides) under uncultured endophytic bacterium. Its description in RNAcentral is "bacterial SSU rRNA". It matches the Rfam family "Bacterial small subunit ribosomal RNA", at positions 771 to 1504 of the family's 1533-position model. The record is from RNAcentral.
AACAGGAUUAGAUACCCUGGUAGUCCACGCCCUAAACGAUGAAUACUCGAUGUUGGCGAUAUACAGUCAGCGUCAAAGCGAAAGCGUUAAGUAUUCCACCUGGGGAGUACGCCCGCAAGGGUGAAACUCAAAGGAAUUGACGGGGGCCCGCACAAGCGGAGGAGCAUGUGGUUUAAUUCGAUGAUACGCGAGGAACCUUACCCGGGCUUGAAAGUUAGUGAAUGAUCCAGAGACGGAUCAGUCCUUCGGGACACGAAACUAGGUGCUGCAUGGCUGUCGUCAGCUCGUGCCGUGAGGUGUUGGGUUAAGUCCCGCAACGAGCGCAACCCCUGUGUUUAGUUGCCAGCACGUAAAGGUGGGGACUCUAAACAGACUGCCUAUGCAAAUAGAGAGGAAGGAGGGGACGACGUCAAGUCAUCAUGGCCCUUACGUCCGGGGCUACACACGUGCUACAAUGGGCAGUACAGAGGGCAGCUACCUGGCAACAGGAUGCCAAUCUCAAAAAGCUGUUCACAGUUCGGAUCGGGGUCUGCAACUCGACCCCGUGAAGUUGGAUUCGCUAGUAAUCGCAGAUCAGCAAUGCUGCGGUGAAUACGUUCCCGGGCCUUGUACACACCGCCCGUCAAGCCAUGGAAGCUGGGGGUGCCUGAAGUGCGUAACCGCAAGGAGCGUCCUAGGGUAAAACCGGUAACUGGGGCUAAGUCGUAACAAGGUAGCCGUA